CAUCGCCUCCCGCAAAAAUCAAAAUAUAGGAGGUCUUACCUGCCCAGUGACAUCAAGUUAAACGGCCGCGGUAUCCUGACCGUGCUAAGGUAGCGCAAUCACUUGUCUUUUAAAUAGAGACCUGUAUGAAUGGUGGAACGAGGGCUUAACUGUCUCCCUUUUCAGGUCAAUGAAAUUGAUCUACCCGUGCAGAAGCGGACAUAACAAUACAAGACGAGAAGACCCUUUGGAGCUUCAGGCACAGAGUUAACUGUAUAAAUAACUCUAAACUAAACAUAGAUUAAACGAAACAGCAAUAUUUAUAACUCUUUUAAGCCUUCGGUUGGGGCGACCGUGGGGGAAAACAAAGCCCCCAUGAGGAGUGGGAAAUUCCUAAAACUAAGAGGGACACCUCUAAGUCACAGAACAUCUGACCAUACAGAUCCGGCAACUAAGCCGAUUAACGAACCAAGUUACCCUAGGGAUAACAGCGCAAUCCCCUCCAAGAGUUCUUAUCGACAAGGGGGUUUACGACCUCGAUGUUGGAUCAGGACAUCCUAAUGGUGCAGCCGCUAUUAAGGGUUCGUUUGUUCAACGAUUAAAGUCCUACGUGAUUG
Molecule: ribosomal RNA, 596 nt
Filed under: Acestrorhynchus britskii
Lineage: Eukaryota; Metazoa; Chordata; Actinopteri; Characiformes; Acestrorhynchidae
Description: partial 16S ribosomal RNA
Rfam family: Bacterial large subunit ribosomal RNA
Source: RNAcentral